Molecule: ribosomal RNA, 469 nt
Filed under: uncultured bacterium
Lineage: Bacteria
Description: partial 16S ribosomal RNA
Rfam family: Bacterial small subunit ribosomal RNA
Source: RNAcentral
GAUGAACGCUGGCGGCGCGCCUAACACAUGCAAGUCGAACGGUUAAAGCACCUUUUAGGUGUGUAUAAAGUGGCGAACGGCUGAGUAACACGUGGGCAACCUGCCCUCCUCUUGGGGAUAGCCUCGGGAAACCGAGGAUAAUACCCGAUACUUCAAUGUGGCCGCAUGACGACAUUGAGAAAGCUUUUGCGGAGAAGGAUGGGCCCGCGGCCUGUUAGCUUGUUGGUGGGGUAGAGGCCUACCAAGGCAAUGAUGGGUAGCUGGGUUGAGAGACCGACCAGCCAGCUUGGGACUGAGACACGGCCCAGACUCCUACGGGAGGCAGCAGGGGGGAAUCUUGCACAAUGGGCGAAAGCCUGAUGCAGCGACGCCGCGGGCGGGACGAAGGCCUUCGGGUUGGAAACCGCUUUCAGCAGGGACGAGGCGAUAAGUGACGGUACCUGCAGAAGAAGCCCCGGCUAACUACGUG